This 65-nucleotide ribosomal RNA is filed under the name Proteus mirabilis. RNAcentral describes it as "partial 16S ribosomal RNA". It matches the Rfam family "Bacterial small subunit ribosomal RNA", at positions 1 to 63 of the family's 1533-position model. Lineage: Bacteria; Pseudomonadati; Pseudomonadota; Gammaproteobacteria; Enterobacterales; Morganellaceae. RNAcentral also lists the same sequence under 9 other names. The record is from RNAcentral.
UUUAAUUGAAGAGUUUGAUCAUGGCUCAGAUUGAACGCUGGCGGCAGGCCUAACACAUGCAAGUC